UUGAAGGUUGGGUAACACUAACUGGAGGACCGAACCGACUAAUGUUGAAAAAUUAGCGGAUGACCUGUGGCUGGGGGUGAAAGGCCAAUCAAACCGGGAGAUAGCUGGUUCUCCCCGAAAGCUAUUUAGGUAGCGCCUCGUGAACUCAUCUCCGGGGGUAGAGCACUGUUUCGGCUAGGGGGCCAUCCCGGCUUACCAACCCGAUGCAAACUGCGAAUACCGGAGAAUGUUAUCACGGGAGACACACGGCGGGUGCUAACGUCCGUCGUGAAGAGGGAAACAACCCAGACCGCCAGCUAAGGUCCCAAAGUCAUGGU
This 317-nucleotide ribosomal RNA is filed under the name Salmonella enterica subsp. enterica. RNAcentral describes it as "partial 23S ribosomal RNA". It matches the Rfam family "Bacterial large subunit ribosomal RNA", at positions 745 to 1059 of the family's 2925-position model. Lineage: Bacteria; Pseudomonadati; Pseudomonadota; Gammaproteobacteria; Enterobacterales; Enterobacteriaceae. The record is from RNAcentral.